CUGAGUUAGGGUCUUUAGGCCCGACCUCCCAACCCUUUGUCUACUCAACCACUUGUUGCUUUGGCGGGCCCGUCCUUGAAAAAGGACCGCCGGGGGACCGUAGCACGUCCUUUGGCCCGUGCCCGCCGACAGCCCCAACCUAAACUCUUGAUAAACGUGAUUUAUACCUGAGUGUCAUGAAAUAAAGCA
RNAcentral lists this unclassified non-coding RNA (189 nucleotides) under uncultured Chaetothyriales. RNAcentral describes it as "sequence contains ITS1". The record is from RNAcentral. Lineage: Eukaryota; Fungi; Ascomycota; Eurotiomycetes; Chaetothyriales.